AGUUUGAUCAUGGCUCAGAACGAACGCUGGCGGCAGGCCUAACACAUGCAAGUCGAGCGCGCCUUCGGGCGAGCGGCGGACGGGUUAGUAACGCGUGGGAACGUGCCCAGAUCUACGGAAUAGCCACUGGAAACGGUGAGUAAUACCGUAUACGCCCUUAGGGGGAAAGAUUUAUCGGAUUUGGAUCGGCCCGCGUUAGAUUAGGUAGUUGGUGGGGUAACGGCCUACCAAGCCUACGAUCUAUAGCUGGUUUUAGAGGAUGAUCAGCAACACUGGGACUGAGACACGGCCCAGACCCCUACGGGAGGCAGCAGUGGGGAAUCUUGGACAAUGGGGGCAACCCUGAUCCAGCCAUGCCGCGUGAGUGAAGAAGGCCCUAGGGUCGUAAAACUCUUUCGCCUGUGAUGAUAAUGACAGUAACAGGUAAAGAAACCCCGGCUAACUCCGUGCCAGCAGCCGCGGUAAUAC
This 468-nucleotide ribosomal RNA is filed under the name uncultured bacterium. Its description in RNAcentral is "bacterial SSU rRNA". It matches the Rfam family "Bacterial small subunit ribosomal RNA", at positions 10 to 526 of the family's 1533-position model. The record is from RNAcentral.